Long non-coding RNA from Panthera uncia (snow leopard), 3909 nucleotides. RefSeq lists it as uncharacterized. The transcript has 4 exons. Lineage: Eukaryota; Metazoa; Chordata; Mammalia; Carnivora; Felidae. The record is from RefSeq and is a predicted model, not a curated record.
CCGCCCGCGGCCGCUGCCGCCCCCGCGGCCGCGCUUCUCCUUUCUGCCUCCGCCGCGGGGGCGUCUUUACAGCCUCCAGAAAAAGGAAGGAAGCCGCGUGGUCCUGACGCGCCGAGGUCCCCGCUGCCGUCCCCAGGCCCCUCGGGGAAACUGAGGUAGCACACCUUGAAUGGAGAGGGGGCGCUCGGACCCUUCCUUUCCACAGGGAAACAACUCCUACGCCCCGAAGUGGGGCGAGGAGAGGAGGCGGUCAAACUCCAAGCGCUGCACCUGGCUCUUGAAACUUGAACUCUGGGCGCCAGCGGUAAAUUGUGCGGAUAUUUGCUGGGGCUAGUUCCAUUAGGAAGGGGCGUGGGGGGAGGGAUUGUGGCUAUAGACCGCCGCCGCGCCCCCCACCCCAAGGCCACGGCCUACGCGUGUGACCCCAGGGCUUGGCAUCUACCACGUCGAGGCUGGGGGCCCUGGGGUCUCCCAGCGCUUAGCCACGCCGCCUAAGACUUCCUGUUGUGGGAUGCGCGCCGCGUCGCCAUGGAGACCUCUGAGGGGCCAGGGAGGUCGCGCAGCAGAAGGGGAAGGGAGGGAGCCCAGGGGACGUUCGAGCCCUUCCUUCGGAGGAUAGGGCUUCGAGUCACUUUUUCGGCUAGAAAAGCAUCCCUUCUCCUGCCCCGAUGAUUCCUAAGGGAUUUCCACGGGGAUCUUCCUACGCGGGGUGUGGUGGGUGCUGAAAUCCCUCCCCGAACUGCCUGGGCAAAGGUGCAGGGUAGGACCAGGGACGCCCCAAGCCUCGAAGGGACUGGGAAAAUCCUGUGCGGGAGGGAGAGGGGGGGUUAUUUUCCGGCGGAUUUUUCUCGGGCUUUCCGCAAUGGGUCUCUGGACUUUGGUCCACAGUGCGCGGGCGGCGAGCUCCCCCGCGCGGCCCAAGUCUUCCUUGCAGCCAUAAAAGCGCGGUUCUUUCGGAUCUCUCCCGACAGGCCCUGCGGUGUUCAGUGGGUGCCUGCUGUGAUAGGAAUCCUUCCAAGAGCUGGCGACAGGGCAGUGAUGAGGAAAGACAAACAUUUCGUCAUUGUGCAGAGAUGGUUUCAACGGCGGGGGAGCGAUAAGAAACAAAAAUAAAAUAUAUGGGGUGAGUGUUGGUGAUUAGUGCUGAGAGGAAAUAGAAUAGGAGGGAUAGGGAAUGUGAGGGUUAAUGAACUUUUAAGUAGAGUACUCUGGGAAAGACUGAGAAGGCGACAUUUGAGCAAAGACACGGGGAAGUGAGGAGGCUCCUGUGACAAUAUCAGAGAGGGAAGGUACCAGACAGAGAGUGCUGAAUGUGCAAAGGCCCUGAGGUAGGGACAGCCUGGAGGCCCAUAUGACUGGAGUGCAGUAAGGAAGGGAGGAGGAAAUGAGGGCAGGGAGGAGAUGGUGCCCGGCAUGCUUGUCAGUCUGCAGAGGACUUUGGCUUUUCUUCCCAGUGAGGUGGGAGCCAUGGAGGAGGGACAGCCCCAGCUCCAGUGUUUGCAGGCACCCUCCUGAGACAGCAGGAGCUAUGUCCCAGGGCCAGGGAGGACAGGAGGCCAGAGAGGAGGUCGUGGUGGGUAAUGAUGGGUCCUUGCUCUGGGCAGUGCCAUCAGAGAAGUGAUCUGACAUCCCUUUUGGUGGCAAGGUCAACUGCGCUUGCUGGGACAUGAGGACAGAGCGGAGUUAAGAAUGACUUCUUGGUUCUGGCCUGGUCCCCUGGGAAGACGGAGAGCCAUUUCCUGAGAUGAAGAUGGGGUGGUAAUGGGGGCCAGGUUAGCGAGAGGAGCGUCCACCUCCUGGUCUCACAUUUCCUUUGUGUUUCCUCUAGGAAAAGAAAAGUGGAGGCUCCCCAGCCCUUCGCUGAAGUUGCCAGGAAGGGCAAGGCUUCCUCCCGGGUGCCAGGCAGUCUUGGGCAGUCCAGUGAGUGGACCCACUACAGACUAGAGGCCGCGGGCUCAUGUCCCGCUUUGUGGCCUGGCCCCUGCUCUCCCUUCACUCUGAGCUGUGGCGUGGCCACCCCGCCCUUCCUGGCUGCUUCAGUGAAUUUCUUUUGUCCCCGAGCAUUCUGAACAUGCUCUAGCCCAGAAUUUCCUUCCCACCGCUUUUACAGGAGGUUCUCAGAGCAUUUCAUCCACAAGGUUGUGACAGAAGGAGGAGCAGAUUGGGGUUUGGAUCCAGGCUCUGACAACUUAGCGGCUGUUUUAGUGGACGUUCUCCCCAAAAGCAGCCCCUGGAACCAAACUUGGUGUUCUGGCAGUUUAUACCUGGGAUGGGGGUUUGGGGGGAGUCGGGGAAGGCAACCAGGAAAGCUGUGGGUUAGUGUGGAGACCUCCUUUGGGGGCCACUGUGGUUCAGUCUCACUGAGGGACCCCUUGGAGAUGGGCGGACUUUUUACGCCAAUCCUGUGCCUCGCUGGGUCUAAGCUCCUCCAGGAAUGUCAACUCCCUAAUACUUCAUUACUCCAUAUGUACAUUUCUAUUCACUUAUUUAAACAGUUUUUGGUCACCGUGCUGUCCAUCGCAUCCCAGGACCUAUUUACCUUGUAACCGGAAGUUUGUACCCUUUGACCCGCUUCACCCAUUUCCCCCACCCCCUGCCUCUGGCAACCACCAAUCUGUUCUGUAUGUAAAUUCAGGUGUUUCUUUUGUUUUGCUUUAAAGUUGAUUUAUUUAUUUUGAGAGAGAGGGCGGGGCGUAGAGAAAGAAUUCCAGGCAGGCUCCACACCGAGAACAGAGCCCGAUGCAGGAUCACACAAAGCACGAGAUCCUGGCCAGAGCUGAAAUGGGACGCUUAACCAGCUGAGCCACACAGAGAGAGAGAGAGAGAGCGAGUGUGAGCUGGCAGAGAGAGGGAGACACAGAAUCCGAAGCAGACUCCAGGCUCUGAGCUGUCAGCACAGAGCCCGACACGGGGCUCGCACCCACAAACCAUGAGAUCAUGACCUGAGCCGAAGUCGGACGCGAGAACAACUGAGCCACCCAGACACCCCGGACUCAGCCCUGAGAAUCUCACCUCCAACUUCCCAGGCAGAAAUACACGUUUCCUCUGUGUUGCCACCGAUCUGGUCGAUACAUCACAUUUCGUCCUCGCAGCCCUAGCUGGCAUGACUACUCGACUCAAGUUCACCUCUCCGACCAGACUACGAGUUUCGCGAUAGAGAUCGUGCCUGUCUUGUCCACCAGCACAGUGUCUCAUCUAAUGCACAAUGGGUGUUCAGAAAACACCUGGCAAGUAACCCAUCGGUGAAUGGUUCAGGAGAGAAGAGAAGGCCUGAGCCUAGCAGUCCAGGAGCUUCCCUCGGCCUCCCUCCCCCAGCCUCACCCCACCCGGGGACUCACAAUUCUCUUGAAGUUCUUCUGCCAGAUGGCAACCUGGUGCAAGAUAUCCAUCCUGUGGAGAACGAACAGGAUGUGAAAGGCCCCCCUCCAACUGAUGUCCUCGCCACCUCACGAGAUGCAAACAGGGGCUCCUCCCUUCCAGUGCCAGGGCCCUGUGUGAUCCGCCCCCCGCCCCCUCUGCCCCAUCUCGCACCACCUCCAGGCCCGCUCCGUCUCCAUUCUGUGAGAUGGGGUCCAGCCUCCAUGCCUUUGCGCUCACUGUUCCCUCUGCCUGAAACGCUCUUCCCCUGGCUGGUCCCUUCUCGGCCCCAAACAACAUCUCCGAGAGGAGCCUCCUUGCUAGAAAGAGGGCCACCUCUUCCUGCCUCUCCCAGUACCUUACUCUCUUCCUAGGCUUCCAACUUACUCAUUGCCACCCUCUUUAUGGGCUGCUUUGCCUCUCUAGCCCUGUGACCCCAUUCAGUAGACACUGGUCACAGGCGUGGUCAUCACACCCCUGAAGUGUGGCCAGUGCCACGUGUUGAAAUGACAAUAUUGUAGACGCAGCAGGUUAAAGAAAAUAAAUCCUUGU